UUGACAUGUUAAAAAAAACGG
RNAcentral lists this non-coding RNA (21 nucleotides) under Caenorhabditis elegans. Lineage: Eukaryota; Metazoa; Nematoda; Chromadorea; Rhabditida; Rhabditidae. The record is from RNAcentral.